RNA transcript from Xyrauchen texanus (razorback sucker), 6554 nucleotides. It is a transcript of the gene named QKI, KH domain containing, RNA binding 2, with no coding region annotated. The transcript has 8 exons. Lineage: Eukaryota; Metazoa; Chordata; Actinopteri; Cypriniformes; Catostomidae. The record is from RefSeq and is a predicted model, not a curated record.
AACGUUGAGCAGUCUAGGGGUUGAUCAUCAUCAUGUGACAGCCAGCUUUGGGAGAGAGAACACCACUGACUGAACACAGAAACAUCUAAAGGAGUUUCCGUAGCGCGAGAGAUAGUGAACGUUGCUCCGUUAUUCAAGUGCUCCCAAUAGGCAUCGACGGCUCGGUGAUAAGUUCUGGAAAGACGCUGCUCUGAACAGCCCGGAUAAAAAACAUUCUCCGAGGACAGAAGAGAGAUUGAGAGAGAGAGAUUGAGAGAGACGCACUAAUCUCAGCGGGCAUGCGGGAGUUUUCUGAGUUAUUUGACGGCAAACAUUGUACAAACUAAUACGAACUCGCUCGCAGAUUCUUUUCCUUUAUUGCGUCAUCAGUUUGGUAUUUAUAAACUGUCAACCGACUGUUGUCGGUUAUAAAAAUUUUCAACAUUGCGUUUGAAAAAGUAACGAUUGCAGGGCAGGAGUUUGGAUACUGGAAUAAAACGGGCAACACAGAUUACACCCCUCUGUCGCCCUUUUUUCCUUGGGGGUCUGUUGUUUAUUUCCCUCAGCCCGACACAUUUCCGAGAUUUUUAGGCAACGGUUCAAACAUGGUUGGGGAAAUGGAAACGAAGGAGAAGCCCAAACCGACUCCUGACUAUCUGAUGCAGCUCAUGAACGACAAGAAGCUGAUGAGCAGCCUCCCAAACUUCUGCGGUAUCUUCAACCACCUCGAAAGACUGUUAGAUGAAGAGAUUGGACGGGUACGGAAGGACAUGUACAAUGACACAAUGAACGGCAGCACAGACAAAAGAACAUCGGAGCUCCCGGAUGCUGUGGGGCCCAUUGCACAACUCCAAGAGAAACUCUAUGUGCCUGUCAAAGAGUACCCAGACUUUAAUUUUGUGGGAAGAAUCCUGGGACCCCGUGGCCUGACAGCCAAACAACUGGAAGCAGAGACGGGCUGCAAGAUUAUGGUGCGAGGCAAAGGUUCAAUGAGAGACAAGAAGAAGGAAGAGCAGAACAGGGGGAAACCUAAUUGGGAACACCUGAAUGAAGAUCUGCACGUCCUCAUCACUGUGGAAGACUCUCAGAACCGAGCUGAGAUCAAACUCAAAAGAGCCGUCGAGGAGGUCAAGAAACUUCUAGUUCCUGCGGCGGAAGGUGAAGACAGCUUGAAGAAAAUGCAGCUGAUGGAGCUGGCCAUCCUCAAUGGCACAUACAGAGACGCCAAUGUCAAGUCACAAGCCUUGGCUUUCUCCUUGGCCGCCAGCGCACAAGCUCCCCGCAUCCUCACAGGCCCCUCCCCGGUGAUGCCCAAUGCGGCUCUGCGUAACCCUGCGCCUGCUACCCCAACCCUCAUGCCCCUCAUUCGACAGAUCCAGACCUCCGCCAUCAUGCCCACAGGCACGCCCCACCAUGCGACCCUCCUACCCCAGACCCCCGAGUCAGGCAUCAUCUAUGCACCCUACGACUACCCCUACACCCUUGGUCCUGCAACCUCCAUCCUCGAAUAUCCUAUUGACUCCAGUGGUGUUUUAGGUAUGGCUUUCCCAACAAAAGGCUAAUAAUGCUCAGAGGUUUAACAGUCUACAACCCAUACGAGUGUUAAAAAAAUGCUUUGCUUUACAGCUGCCUUGGAACAAAAAAAGAGCAAACGAAGAAACUGGUUUUAUUUUUCAGAAACGAAAGAAUAAAGUUUAUUACUACUCAUGUUUACACUGGUCUUAACUGUUUUUGACUUAUUAAAAAUUGAUAUUUUAAGAAAAAUACUGAUAAUUAAGCAUUCCUCUGUUUGAAAUGUAAUCUAUAUUUGUUUAGCUUGAAAUAAUUGUAUUUCUUAUUUUCCUGCAACUGUGUCUUAGAUAUUUAGAGAGUGAUCAGUAUUAUUGCUAAUAUAACUUGCUUGUGAAAAACCUUCUACAGAUGAUAUAGCUUGUAGUGAAUUCAAAUGACCUGAGGCAUAUAGUAUGUUAAGAACUAUUUGUUAGGUGGAAAACAAGGGCUCUAUGGUCAUGGUUUAAAUAAAUCAUUAAAAGUUGUGUUUUUAUGGAAAUACUUAGAAUUACAGUAAAGAUAAUUUGUCAACGGGCAACAGCAUAUGAUGAAAUUUUACUAUAAUGUGGCCCUUGGAAUUGUUAAAGAGAAAAUAUCACUUGUGCCUUGUAAUUUGGUGUUACAGGCCUUGUUAAAUAAUUUGUGUGAAGUGUGAUGUAGUUUUAAUGCAUUUUAAUGAAUAAUCUGAUGUUAAUUUUUGUUUGUUGGCAAUGUUGCGCUUUGAGCAGGUGCAGUGACUACUAAAGUACGAAGGCAGGAUAUGCGCGUCCAUCCUUACCAAAGGGUAGUGACCGCAGAACGAGCCGCCACCGGCAACUAACCAAUGACCCUCUGAGCUCUCAACUCUUCACCCAAUGAUGACCUGACCAUUGCCUGCCUGCUGACCAGUUCUCUGGCUCUCGUCCUUCGCUUCUAUGUUUUGGCGGCCUGCCAGUGAGCCCAGCAGCUUUAAAUGCUUAACACAGCCGAGAAGCCGUGAUGGCCCCACGCCACCACCCGCAGAACAGAAUUGCUCCCCUUCUCAAAACCCGAGGACCUCCUUGGUCAGGUGACCUGGGCUACUCAGCCUGCACUAAAGUGUCAAAGCAAUAACACUGUCUGGGUAUAACCCCACUGUUAGCCUUUCACACACUAAAUACAGACACAUUUGUAUUGAUUUCUACAAAUAAAUGAUUGAGCAUUAUGUUUAAAGGUAUAGUCCCAAAAAUGAAAAUGUCUGUCAUCAUUUACUCACUCUCAUGUUGUUCCAAACCUCUAUGACUUCAGUGGAUCAUGGUCAUAUGGGUUUGGAACAACAUGAGGUUGAGUAAAUGAUGUCUGAAGUUUUCAUUUUUGGGAGAACUGUCCCUUUAAAUCUCUUAGUUUGUGCACUCACAGUCUCUUAUGUUUCUCAUACCAUCCUGAAGAGUUGGAAACAAAAUAACACAUUUGAGUAAAUAAUUGGUGGAACCAGCUAUUUAAAACUGACCUCUAGGUCCAGAUGUCCAUAAGGGAUGUAAAAGCCAUGCUUGCCUACCAGCUUUUUAUUCGUAGAGCGGUUGAAAUGCAUCCAAACGCAUGAACAAGUGUGUACAAACACUGAAUAUCAAUUGAUAUCUUUUUGAUAUGAGGGUGCUGCACAUGAAAUUGCUAUAUAUUUUUCACAAUUGAUCGUUUUUGUAUUCAGAAACAGUAUUGUUUAAAUGUGAUGAACAAACAAUGUUUAUUUCUUUACAAUAACAGACAAAUUUUAGAGACCAAAACGGUGUCUUUUUUUAAAUCAAACAAACAAGUGCCUUAUUUUACACAUCAUCAUCAAUUACAAACAAGUAUGAAUGUCCAUCAAUGUGUUAAAUGCCAACAUAUCAGGUAUUUCUCUUCAAGUCCUCUUUAUGAUAAUGAAAACAAGGGUUGUACAGAACUGAGUUGCAGCCGUAACACUCACACUAGUUUUUUAACCCUCUUUUUAAAGUGUAUUUUAUUUUUCUUUACGAAUAGAAAUAGAGUUUUAGUCUGACUACAUUUUGAGACCUUUACGCUCACUAUCUGUUUGUGUUUAUAUUGUAGUGUACAAGCUCUCUAAUAUAUUAAUAGAUCCAUAACUACAUCUGUUACAAAAGCAAUUAAGCCUCCCAACAAUCUGGGCAUCAUUAGUGAAACUGUUACUAUUUGGGAGAAUCGCACGAACGUUGUCAGUUCAUAUUCUGGCCCUAUUUCACACCAAAAUCACAAGAAAGAAAGAAAAAAAAAAUGCUUGAAGAAAACUCAUAUUAUUUUAGGAUUUCUUGCGUUUGUUACAUCAUUUUCAUCACAAUUAAGAAAAUUUCCCACCAAAAUUUGUAUUACCAUAAUGCAGAAAAAUAUGUUAUUUAAACUGUAAAGUAUUUGAACAUCAUGGUAUUAUUUGUUGAACUGCCUUUUGUUCUGUUUUAAAUAAAAUUAUACUAUUUUUAUUACUAUAUUACAGAAUUGAGAACCUAUUGAGAAUAACUAUUGAGAAAAAUAGGAAUUGCCAAAAAAGUAAAAUGUUGGAACACACUACUGUAAAAUAAUCUUAAUUGUCCUAAAAAAAAAAACUAAAAAAAAACAUAUAAGCUUAAUUUUCUUUUUUCAGUAUAUACAGUGGCAAGAAAAAGUAUGUGAUCCCUUUGGAAUGAGCUGGUUUUCUGCAUUAAUUGGUCAUAAAAUGUGAUCUCAUCUUCAUCAAAGUCACAAGUAUAGACAAACACAAUGUGCUUAAGCUAACAACACACACACAAUUAUAUUCUUUGUUGUCUGUAUUGAAAACAUUCCAUUAUUGCUGUUGAAAAAGUAAGUGAACCCUUGGAUUUAAUAAAUGGUUGAUCCACUGUUGGCAGUAAUAACCUCAACCAAGCAUUUCCGGUAGCUGCGGAUUAGACCUGCACAACAUUCAGAAGGAAUUUUGGACCAUUCUUCCUCACAGAACUGCUUCUGUUCAGCCAUAUUCUUAGGAAGUCUGGUUUGAAUGUCUCUUGAGGUCAUUCCACAACAUCGUUAAUGGUUAAGGUCUGGACUCUGACCUCUUUUUUUUUUUUUAAGUCAUUCUGUAGUGGAUUUACUUAGAUGUUUAGGGUCAUUAUCCUGCUGCUUCACCCAGCCUCAGGUGGCACACAGCCACCCUGACAUUAUCCUGUAGGAUAUCUUGUGAAACUUGUGAUACAUGAUGCUUCCUCCACCAUUGAGAGGAUGUUUUCAUGUUGGUAUGUGGUGAUCCUCUUACACCAUACAUAGUUCUGAGUGUUCUUCCCAAACAAUUCAACCAUGGUUUCAUCAGUCCACAAAACAUUUUCCCAGUAGCGUCCUGGAGGGUCAAGGUGGUCUUUGGAAAACUUUAGGUACACAGCAGUGUUUAUUUUGGAAAGCAGAGGCUUCAUUCAUGGUGUCCUGCCACGGUCCACAUCAGCAGAUACUUCUUGUGAUUAGCAAACACAAAUGUUUGAGUGCUUUUUAUAAAACAAAGUAGAUCUAACCCACACCUCCAAUCUCAUUUCAUUAAUGGAAUGUCAGGUUUGUCAAGUCCUGACUAAUUGGCUUUUGUUGACGUCAUUAGCCUAGGGGUUCACAUACUUUUCCAACCUACACUGUGAAUGUUUGAAUGAUGUAUUCAAUAUGUACAACAACAAUAUAAUAAUUUGUGUGAUAUUAGUUGAAACUGAUUUUUCAUUUAUUGUAACUUAGAUGAUCAAACCAGAUUUUACGACAAAUGUAUAAAUGAAAGCAGGUAAUUCUAAAGGGUUCACGUACUUGCCACUUGUAUGAAUUACCAUUUUGAUUUAUUGGUAAAAUGUGAUUUCCAUAUAUUUCUAAAUGUUUCACUAUACAUUCAGUAUAUCUCAAGGAGCAUUUAUUCAAUUAUAAAGGUUUAGGGUUAAUUAGCACAAAAACUUUUACUCGUUAUAACAGGUUGGACCCCUUAUGAAGAAUUACGUUUUUACCAGAAGAGCAUAUUUGUGAUGGACAUCUCACAUUUCUUCAUACUUUCUAUGCAAAUGAUUUUCAUUUAAAAGUGACAACACAUUUCUGCAGUUGGUCUUCCAGUUAAACUUUCAAACCAUUUCAGAACAGAAGAACGAGGAGAAUAAAAGCCUAUUAACAAACUUUAGAAUUACACUUUGCUAUGUAGUUGUCAUUACUGGAUUUUGUGAAGAUACAUCUCCUUUUUUUAAUGAUAUUGGUUAUAUUUAUGCAGAGCAAAUGCAAGAUGUUUGAUGUUUUUGCAGUUGCAUGUAAUUGUUUAUUAACCUGGAUAUUGCUAAAGGAAAAAUCCUGCAAAGAUGGAAUUGUUUUACUAUAGAAUGUAUGUCAGUGUGUGCGAGUAUGUGUGUCAUUGUGUUUACGGUGAGUGUUUAGUGUAUUGUAAAUGCCAAUGAACUGCAACUCUCCAUUCAAGGUUUGAUUAUUAUUGUUUGUUUGUUUUUGCAAUCCCAAGCAGCUCCUUGCAUUGGAAAAUAUACAGUCCUUUUUAUAACCAUUGUAUACAUUAUAAUGUAUUUUUCUAUCAUAUUUUGUAUGUGAGAAAUAACAUUAAAUCACAUUUCCAGAUACGAAAGGAUGCCUUAUUAAAACAAUUGGUAUUUGAGAGAAAUACUUUCAAACACUCGAUAAUUGUAUUUUUUCCAUGAUGAUAUAAUUCUAUAGGAAAAUAUAAAAAAAAACACCAGUUUGAUUAUGAUAUGAUGAACAACAUUUGGUCCCAAGCUCACUCAAAGCAAGUGUUACAAAAGUUGUUAUUAUUUGCUGGGGUGUUCAGUUUGUCAUUUUUGCUUUGCCUCUGUGCCUUAUGUAAAUUGUAAGCUAUUAACCAUUUUAGUUAAUUUGAUUAAUUUUUUCUUGACGAUUGUACUAACAUUUGAUGGUUUCUAUACAUUAACCCCAUCAAUAAUUUAUUUUGUCUGCUUUGAAUCUUUAGAACAGGAGAUGUGUGAAACUAAGCAAGAGUGUUUUACUGACUUUGAAAUAUGCUGGACUAAACUCUGUACUGCGAAGCAAUAGCCGAAUAUUAAAAUCAUAGUUUUAAAAAGGAA